UAAUGUAUGGGGAUCUGCCCGAUAGAGGGGGAUAACUACUGGAAACGGUGGCUAAUACCGCAUAAUGUCUACGGACCAAAGCAGGGGCUCUUCGGACCUUGCACUAAUCGGAUGAACCCAUAUGGGAUUAGCUAGUAGGUGGGGUAAAGGCUCACCUAGGCGACGAUCUCUAGCUGGUCUGAGAGGAUGAUCAGCCACACUGGGACUGAGACACGGCCCAG
This 221-nucleotide ribosomal RNA is filed under the name uncultured bacterium. RNAcentral's name for it is "partial 16S ribosomal RNA". It matches the Rfam family "Bacterial small subunit ribosomal RNA", at positions 111 to 334 of the family's 1533-position model. The record is from RNAcentral.